ACUUGUUUAGCUCAGUUGGUAAAAUAUAAGGCUCUUAAUCUUGUGGUCGUGGGUUCGAGCCCCACAGUGGGUG
Zea mays is the source of this 73-nucleotide non-coding RNA. The record is from Rfam. NCBI's taxonomy places the organism in Eukaryota, Viridiplantae, Streptophyta, Magnoliopsida, Poales, Poaceae.